RNAcentral lists this ribosomal RNA (486 nucleotides) under uncultured bacterium. RNAcentral's name for it is "partial 16S ribosomal RNA". It matches the Rfam family "Bacterial small subunit ribosomal RNA", at positions 28 to 507 of the family's 1533-position model. The record is from RNAcentral.
GACGAACGCUGGCGGCGUGCUUAACACAUGCAAGUCGAACGGGAUCCCAAGGCUUUUUGUUUUUGGUGAGAGUGGCGAACGGGUGAGUAACACGUGAGUAACCUGCCCCCUUCUUUUGGAUAACCGCAUGAAAGUGUGGCUAAUACAGGAUAUUCCAGGCUGGUCGCAUGAUUGGUUUGGGAAAUGGUUUGGUCUGGUGGGGGAUGGGCUCGCGGCCUAUCAGCUUGUUGGUGGGGUGAUGGCCUACCAAGGCGGUGACGGGUAGCCGGCCUGAGAGGGUGGGCGGUCACACUGGGACUGAGAUACGGCCCAGACUCCUACGGGAGGCAGCAGUGGGGGAUUUUGCACAAUGGGCGCAAGCCUGAUGCAGCGACGCCGCGUGAGGGAUGAAGGCCUUCGGGUUGUAAACCUCUUUCGCUGGGUUGAAAGGCCAUGCUUUGGGUGUGGUUGAUUUGAACUGGUAAAGAAGUACCGGCUAACUACGUG